AAGUCGUAACAAGGUUUCCGUAGGUGAACCUGCGGAAGGAUCAUUAAAGUGUUUCGGAGCCUGGUAUGGGCAUCUCGACUCGAGGUGUCGGUGCCAGCGCCCCCACACGUGUUUACUCAACUUGGUUGCCUUGGUGAGCCUGCCCUUGUGGCUGCCGGGGAUGCCUCACGGUGUCUCGGGCUCGUGCUCACCAGUGGAACAUUUGAACUCUUACCUGAAAAUAGUCAGUCUGAGCAUUAUGCAAAUUAAAUAAAACUUUCAACAACGGAUCUCUUGGUUCCG
Molecule: unclassified non-coding RNA, 282 nt
Filed under: Aphanoascus sp.
Lineage: Eukaryota; Fungi; Ascomycota; Eurotiomycetes; Onygenales; Onygenaceae
Also listed under: 2 other names
Description: partial contains small subunit ribosomal RNA, internal transcribed spacer 1, and 5.8S ribosomal RNA
Rfam family: Eukaryotic small subunit ribosomal RNA (bases 1-46)
Source: RNAcentral